Molecule: ribosomal RNA, 423 nt
Filed under: uncultured bacterium
Lineage: Bacteria
Description: bacterial SSU rRNA
Rfam family: Bacterial small subunit ribosomal RNA
Source: RNAcentral
UAAGGAAUAUUGGUCAAUGGAGGCAACUCUGAACCAGCCAUGCCGCGUGAAGGAUGAAGGCCCUCUGGGUUGUAAACUUCUUUUAUCUGGGAAGAAAUCCACUGUUUCUACGGUGGUUGACGGUACCAGAGGAAUAAGCACCGGCUAACUCCGUGCCAGCAGCCGCGGUAAUACGGAGGGUGCAAGCGUUAUCCGGAUUUACUGGGUUUAAAGGGUGCGUAGGCGGGCUUUUAAGUCAGCGGUGAAAGCUUCGAGCUUAACUCGGAAAUUGCCGUUGAUACUAUUAGUCUUGAAUUAAGUUGAGGUGGGCGGAAUAUGUCAUGUAGCGGUGAAAUGCUUAGAUAUGACAUAGAACACCGAUUGCGAAGGCAGCUCGCUAAACUUAUAUUGACGCUGAGGCACGAAAGCGUGGGGAUCAAACAG